RNAcentral lists this ribosomal RNA (496 nucleotides) under uncultured bacterium. Its description in RNAcentral is "partial 16S ribosomal RNA". It matches the Rfam family "Bacterial small subunit ribosomal RNA", at positions 29 to 507 of the family's 1533-position model. The record is from RNAcentral.
AUGAACGCUGGCGGCGUGCCUAAUACAUGCAAGUCGCGCGAACGGACGAGAAGCUUGCUUCUCUGAUGUUAGCGGCGGACGGGUGAGUAACACGUGGAUAACCUACCUAUAAGACUGGGAUAACUUCGGGAAACCGUAGCUAAUACCGGAUAAUAUUUUGAACCGCAUGGUUCAAAAGUGAAAGACGGUCUUGCUGUCACUUAUAGAUGGAUCCGCGCUGCAUUAGCUAGUUGGUAAGGUAACGGCUUACCAAGGCAACGUUGCAUAGCCGACCUGAGAGGGUGAUCGGCCACACUGGAACUGAGACACGGUCCAGACUCCUACGGGAGGCAGCAGUAGGGAAUCUUCCGCAAUGGGCGAAAGCCUGACGGAGCAACGCCGCGUGAGUGAUGAAGGUCUUCGGAUCGUAAAACUCUGUUAUUAGGGAAGAACAUAUGUGUAAGUAACUGUGCACAUCUUGACGGUACCUAAUCAGAAAGCCACGGCUAACUACGUG